CUUUGCUGACGAGUGGCGGACGGGUGAGUAAUGUCUGGGAAACUGCCUGAUGGAGGGGGAUAACUACUGGAAACGGUGGCUAAUACCGCAUAACGUCGCAAGACCAAAGAGGGGGACCUUCGGGCCUCUUGCCAUCAGAUGUGCCCAGAUGGGAUUAGCUUGUUGGUGAGGUAACGGCUCACCAAGGCGACGAUCCCUAGCUGGUCUGAGAGGAUGACCAGCCACACUGGAACUGAGACACGGUCCAGACUCCUACGGGAGGCAGCAGUGGGGAAUAUUGCACAAUGGGCGCAAGCCUGAUGCAGCCAUGCCGCGUGUAUGAAGAAGGCCUUCGGGUUGUAAAGUACUUUCAGCGGGGAGGAAGGUGUUGUGGUUAAUAACCGCAGCAAUUGACGUUACCCGCAGAAGAAGCACCGGCUAACUCCGUGCCAGCAGCCGCGGUAAUACGGAGGGUGCAAGCGUUAAUCGGAAUUACUGGGCGUAAAGCGCACGCAGGCGGUCUGUCAAGUCGGAUGUGAAAUCCCCGGGCUCAACCUGGGAACUGCAUUCGAAACUGGCAGGCUUGAGUCUUGUAGAGGGGGGUAGAAUUCCAGGUGUAGCGGUGAAAUGCGUAGAGAUCUGGAGGAAUACCGGUGGCGAAGGCGGCCCCCUGGACAAAGACUGACGCUCAGGUGCGAAAGCGUGGGGAGCAAACAGGAUUAGAUACCCUGGUAGUCCACGCCGUAAACGAUGUCUACUUGGAGGUUGUGCCCUUGAGGCGUGGCUUCCGGAGCUAACGCGUUAAGUAGACCGCCUGGGGAGUACGGCCGCAAGGUUAAAACUCAAAUGAAUUGACGGGGGCCCGCACAAGCGGUGGAGCAUGUGGUUUAAUUCGAUGCAACGCGAAGAACCUUACCUGGUCUUGACAUCCACAGAAGAAUCCAGAGAUGGAUUUGUGCCUUCGGGAACUGUGAGACAGGUGCUGCAUGGCUGUCGUCAGCUCGUGUUGUGAAAUGUUGGGUUAAGUCCCGCAACGAGCGCAAC
This 1023-nucleotide ribosomal RNA is filed under the name Salmonella enterica. RNAcentral's name for it is "bacterial SSU rRNA". It matches the Rfam family "Bacterial small subunit ribosomal RNA", at positions 83 to 1102 of the family's 1533-position model. The record is from RNAcentral. Lineage: Bacteria; Pseudomonadati; Pseudomonadota; Gammaproteobacteria; Enterobacterales; Enterobacteriaceae.